GCGGGCGUAGUAUAGAGGUAAUACGUGAGCUUCCCAAGCUUGAGUCGAGGGUUCGAUUCCCUCCGCCCGCACCA
This 74-nucleotide transfer RNA is filed under the name Verrucomicrobia bacterium 21-51-4. RNAcentral's name for it is "tRNA-Gly". It matches the Rfam family "tRNA". From Rfam's summary of the family: Transfer RNA (tRNA) molecules are approximately 80 nucleotides in length. Their secondary structure includes four short double-helical elements and three loops (D, anti-codon, and T loops). RNAcentral also lists the same sequence under 1 other name. Lineage: Bacteria; Pseudomonadati; Verrucomicrobiota. The record is from RNAcentral.